RNAcentral lists this transfer RNA (73 nucleotides) under bacterium. RNAcentral's name for it is "tRNA-Lys". It matches the Rfam family "tRNA". From Rfam's summary of the family: Transfer RNA (tRNA) molecules are approximately 80 nucleotides in length. Their secondary structure includes four short double-helical elements and three loops (D, anti-codon, and T loops). Further hydrogen bonds mediate the characteristic L-shaped molecular structure. tRNAs have two regions of fundamental functional importance: the anti-codon, which is responsible for specific mRNA codon recognition, and the 3' end, to which the tRNAs corresponding amino acid is attached (by aminoacyl-tRNA synthetases). tRNAs cope with the degeneracy of the genetic code in two manners: having more than one tRNA (with a specific anti-codon) for a particular amino acid; and 'wobble' base-pairing, i.e. permitting non-standard base-pairing at the 3rd anti-codon position. The record is from RNAcentral.
GCGAGUGUAGCUUAGUCGGUAGAGCAGAUCCCUCUUAAGGAUAAGGUCGUGGGUUCGAAUCCCACCCCUCGCA